CUACACUUGUGUCCAGAGAGAGAGAGAGAGAGAGAGAGAGAGAUGGAAAAGAGUAGCUUAGAAAUUGUAAAGGAAAAAUAUUGUGAUUAUUCUGCCUAUUUAUUUAAACCGUCUCUGGUGGGUCUGAUGAUGAUGAUGAUGAUGAUGGUGAUGAUGAUGAUGAUGAUGGUGAUGAAUACAGUAAAAGGAGAACACGAAACUGACCAGAACGAAGAUGUAAUAAUGAAAUACGUGAUAAAAGAAGGAGAUAGGAUGAAAAAUAAUAAAAGAGACAUAGAGAACACGAUAGAAGAGGUGAAGAAACA
Long non-coding RNA from Portunus trituberculatus (swimming crab), 305 nucleotides. RefSeq lists it as uncharacterized. The record is from RefSeq and is a predicted model, not a curated record. The transcript has 3 exons. NCBI's taxonomy places the organism in Eukaryota, Metazoa, Arthropoda, Malacostraca, Decapoda, Portunidae.